CAUACAGACCUCAGGCACCAUGACCACCUCAAAUCUCUUGUAGCAUUUUCGGUGUACAUCCGAAAAUGCUACAAGAGAUUUGAGGUGGUCAUGGUGCCUGAGGUCUGUAUG
Pelobates cultripes (western spadefoot toad) is the source of this 111-nucleotide non-coding RNA. The record is from the annotation of a GenBank genome assembly. Lineage: Eukaryota; Metazoa; Chordata; Amphibia; Anura; Pelobatidae.